RNAcentral lists this ribosomal RNA (730 nucleotides) under uncultured bacterium. Its description in RNAcentral is "bacterial SSU rRNA". It matches the Rfam family "Bacterial small subunit ribosomal RNA", at positions 28 to 784 of the family's 1533-position model. The record is from RNAcentral.
AACGAACGCUGGCGGCAGGCUUAACACAUGCAAGUCGAACGUGAAGCCACCUUCGGGUGGUGGAAAGUGGCGGACGGGUGAGUAGCGCGUGGGAACGUACCCUUCGGUUCGGAAUAACCCGGGGAAACUCGGGCUAAUACCGGAUACGUCCUGCCCCUUAAACAAGGGUGGGAGAAGAUUUAUCGCCGAAGGAUCGGCCCGCGUCCGAUUAGCUAGUUGGUGGGUAAUGGCCCACCAAGGCGNCGAUCGGUAGCUGGUCUGAGAGGAUGAUCAGCCACACUGGGACUGAGACACGGCCCAGACUCCUACGGGAGGCAGCAGUGGGGAAUAUUGGACAAUGGGCGCAAGCCUGAUCCAGCCAUGCCGCGUGAGUGAAGAAGGCCCUAGGGUUGUAAAGCUCUUUCAGCGGGGAAGAUAAUGACGGUACCCGCAGAAGAAGCCCCGGCUAACUUCGUGCCAGCAGCCGCGGUAAUGCGAAGGGGCCUAGCGUUGUUCGGAAUUACUGGGCGUAAAGCGCGCGUAGGCGGAUUGUUAAGUCAGGGGUGAAAUGCCGGGCUCACCUCGGAACUGCCUUGAUACUGGCAAUCUGGAGUUCGGGAGAGGUGAGUGGAAUUCCGAGUGUAGAGGUGAAAUUCGUAGAUAUUCGGAGGAACACCAGAAGCGAAGGCGGCUCACUGGCCCGAUACUGACGCUGAGGCGCGAAAGCGUGGGGAGCAAACAGGAUUAGAUA